Megalobrama amblycephala (Wuchang bream) is the source of this 341-nucleotide long non-coding RNA. RefSeq lists it as uncharacterized. Lineage: Eukaryota; Metazoa; Chordata; Actinopteri; Cypriniformes; Xenocyprididae. The transcript has 2 exons. The record is from RefSeq and is a predicted model, not a curated record.
UGAUCCAGCCAAUGAAAUGGCGAGGUGCUGGUUGCUUGACAACAGGCUGGCCAAUGAGCGUCGAUUUUGUUUAUUCAGAAGAACGGAGGUGCGCUUCAAAUCACCCAAACAUCUCGUUCGCUUCAGGGCAGGUGAUGAUCCUCUUCUCACACUGCAGUCUCUCUCUCUAACACUGAUCAGUGUGAUUCAUUUAGUCAGUGUGACACGAGCUUAUGGCGAUCUGACUGUGUGGAUCCGCGGAGCUGCUGCUGAUAUUUAAGGAGCCUUUGGUGCUCCAGGAGAUCAGCGUCCCACAGAGCUUCAUGUUUAAAGCUGUUGAAACAGAUUCUGGCUCCUCUCCC